This 460-nucleotide ribosomal RNA is filed under the name uncultured bacterium. RNAcentral describes it as "partial 16S ribosomal RNA". It matches the Rfam family "Bacterial small subunit ribosomal RNA", at positions 338 to 795 of the family's 1533-position model. The record is from RNAcentral.
CCUACGGGAGGCUGCAGUGAGGAAUAUUGGUCAAUGGACGAGAGUCUGAACCAGCCAAGUAGCGUGAAGGAUGACUGCCCUAUGGGUUGUAAACUUCUUUUAUAAAGGAAUAAAACGAGGCACGUGUGCCUUUUUGUAUGUACUUUAUGAAUAAGGAUCGGCUAACUCCGUGCCAGCAGCCGCGGUAAUACGGAGGAUCCGAGCGUUAUCCGGAUUUAUUGGGUUUAAAGGGAGCGUAGAUGGGUUGUUAAGUCAGUUGUGAAAGUUUGCGGCUCAACCGUAAAAUUGCAAUUGAUACUGGCAGUCUUGAGUGCAGUUGAGGUAGGCGGAAUUCGUGGUGUAGCGGUGAAAUGCGUAGAUAUCACGAAGAACCCCGAUUGCGAAGGCAGCUUACUAAACUGUGACUGACAUUGAUGCUCGAAAGUGUGGGUAUCAAACAGGAUUAGAUACCCUAGUAGUC